GCCACCACCGUCUCCAU
This 17-nucleotide small RNA is filed under the name Arabidopsis thaliana (thale cress). Its description in RNAcentral is "ATSL109190". The record is from RNAcentral. Lineage: Eukaryota; Viridiplantae; Streptophyta; Magnoliopsida; Brassicales; Brassicaceae.